RNAcentral lists this long non-coding RNA (1995 nucleotides) under Homo sapiens (human). RNAcentral describes it as "novel transcript". The record is from RNAcentral. Lineage: Eukaryota; Metazoa; Chordata; Mammalia; Primates; Hominidae.
UCCGUGCGCCACGAGGCGCUGGCGCGCGUCUCCCGGCCCAUCCACCCCGGGCCCGGCGACACCUUUCUUUGCCACCUGGAACCAACAUCUUGGUUCCCUUUUGAGGGAUCAGAACUUGUUUAAUUGGAAUACGGCAAAAUUCUGAAUUUUUCUGCCGUCUCUAUUCCAACUUCAGAGUUCUGCCGUCCAGCCCUGCGACAAUCUUCCGGUGCCAACGCGGCAGAUGGUGUCAGAAGCGGAGUCCAGAGUAGAGCUUCUAGGAACCUUCGGGAGUGCUGAGUGAACACGCAAGGUGCCUGCGGAACCCACUUGUGUCCAUUGACCUCUCCGAGUGGCCGGGGAUCGUGGAUGAAGCUUCACCAUGUUGCCCAGGCUUGUCUGGAACUCUUGAGCUCAAGUGAUCCUCUCACUUCGGCGUCCUGAAGUGCUGGGGUUAGAGAUGUGAGCCACCGCACCCAACAGACUCCAUUUUGGAUGCUCCCAUCGGAACUAUGUAUCCCUGUGCUGGAACUCAAGUGAACACUCAGCUCAAAGUCCAUUGCUGUUCUCUAGAAAUCCAGCCCAGUUCUCUUGGUUAAAUAUAAGAAGGCGGAGCCAGGUGUGCAGAGCGGAACGUGAAAGUGGACCAGGAGCGUGACCGCUGAAGCACAGCAUCACAGGGAGACGUUUAGGCCACCAGACGGCUGCGGGCGGGCUUGACUGAUGUCAGGCUUUCCACAAGAGGUGGUGGAGCAGAGUCUUCUCUAACUCCCCUGGAGAAAGGGAGACUCCCUCUCCGGGUUUGGGAAGAGACAAAACUCAGGAGGAUUGUGCUAUGAUAAACAAGGCUAACCUGCUGAUUCUCUGAAGCAAGGAACUGGAGAUGGUCCUUCUAAGGGUUUAUAUUCUGGAUUCCAGGAAACAUGCAAACAGGACCCAUAAAUGCAUCUUUAUUUUGGUGCCCAUUUUGACCUGGUCAGGAGAAUUCCAACAAAAAAUCCACGGUGUUGGAGCAAGAUCUCAGGCUCUCAGGCUGUGGCCAUCUAGAGAUUCCAUUUUGGAUGCUCCCAUCGGGACUGUGUGUCCCUGUGCUGGAACUCGAGUGAACACUUGGCUCAAAAUCCAUUGCUGUUCUCUAGAAAUCCUGCCCUAUUCUCUUGGUGAAAUAUAAGAUUCCAUUUUGGAUGCCCUCAUUGGGACUGUGUGUCCCUGUACUGGAACUCAAGUGAACACUUGGCUCAAAAUCCAUUGCUGUUCUCUAGAAAUCCAGCCUAAUUCUCUUGGUUAAAGAUUCCAUUUGGAUGCUCCCAUCCGGACUGUGUGCCCCUGUACUGGAACUCAAGUGAACACUUGGCUCAACAUCCAUUGCUGUUCUCAUGAAUUCCAGGCCAAUUGUCUUGGUUAAAGACAAGACGGUGUUUCCCUCUUGUUGCCCAGGCUGGAGUGCAAUGGCAUGAUCUCGGAUCACUGCAACCUCCACCUCCCUGGUUCAAGCGAUUCUCCUGCCUCAGCCUCCCGAGCAGCUGGGAUUACAGGCAUGCAUCACCACGCCCGGCUAAUUCUUUGUAUUUUUAGUAGAGAUGGGAUUUCUCCAUGUUGGUCAGGCUGAUCUUGAACUCCCAACCUUAGGUGAUCCACCCACCUCGGCCUCCCAAAGUGCUGGGAUUACAGGCAUGAGCCAUUGUGCCCGGCCCAUUUCAUUUAUUUUUAUGUGUGCUGCUGAAGCAAGCACUUAUGUGUAGGAAUUGUUCUUCCUGUGAGCAUAUGUUGGCCAGCCUGGACCACAUACCAAGAUCCCAUCUCUUUAAAAACACAGAUUACGUGGCACCUGGCACCUGGUCCCAGAGACUUCAUUUGGGUUGGUCAUUUGAAACACUAGCCUCCCAUCAAUUUAGUGUAAUCAAUCCAAAUCAUGUGUCCUUCAUUAAGAGACUAAGAACGCCUCCACGUCUAUCCAGUCUAUUUUGUAAUCCCCAACGGUUGUCAAUAUUAAUAAAAUUUCUUUUCUUUUUCCUA